Bradysia coprophila is the source of this 169-nucleotide long non-coding RNA. Lineage: Eukaryota; Metazoa; Arthropoda; Insecta; Diptera; Sciaridae. The record is from RefSeq and is a predicted model, not a curated record.
CGAACACAUGAUAACAUUGACUUUGACAGAGACAUUAAAAUCGGUGAUACUGUCAUUGAACGAGUCGACAGUUAUGUGUACCUAGGUCACAAAUUGAAGUUGGGUCUAGACAACCAAACUGCAGAAAUAAAACGUAGAAUUGGUCUUGCAUGGGCAGCGUUCGGAAAAC